AGACGGAGGAUGCAAUGUGUUGAUACCGGGAAUCACUGGGCGUAAAGCGUUCUGUAGGUGGUUUAAUAAAGUCAACUGUUAAAUCUUGAGGCUCAACCUCAAAAUCGCAGUCGAAACUAUUAGGCUAGAGUAUAGUAGGGGUAAAGGGAAUUUCCAGUGGAAGCGGUGAAAUGCGUAGAGAUUGGAAAGAACACCGAUGGCGAAGGCACUUUACUGGGCUAUUACUAACACUCAGAGACGAAAGCUAGGGUA
This 252-nucleotide ribosomal RNA is filed under the name uncultured bacterium. Its description in RNAcentral is "partial 16S ribosomal RNA". It matches the Rfam family "Bacterial small subunit ribosomal RNA", at positions 523 to 767 of the family's 1533-position model. The record is from RNAcentral.